This 424-nucleotide ribosomal RNA is filed under the name Verrucomicrobiota bacterium. RNAcentral's name for it is "Verrucomicrobia bacterium partial 16S ribosomal RNA". It matches the Rfam family "Bacterial small subunit ribosomal RNA", at positions 355 to 776 of the family's 1533-position model. Lineage: Bacteria; Pseudomonadati; Verrucomicrobiota. The record is from RNAcentral.
UGAGGAAUAUUGGUCAAUGGACGCAAGUCUGAACCAGCCAAGUAGCGUGCAGGAUGACGGCCCUAUGGGUUGUAAACUGCUUUUAUAUGGGGAUAAAGUGGGGAACGUGUUCUCUUUUGCAGGUACCAUAUGAAUAAGGACCGGCUAAUUCCGUGCCAGCAGCCGCGGUAAUACGGAAGGUUCGGGCGUUAUACGGAUUUAUUGGGUUUAAAGGGAGCGUAGGCCGUUUGGUAGGCGUGUUGUGAAAUGUAGGAGCUCAACUUCUAGAUUGCAGCGCGAGCUGUCAGACUUAAGAGCGAACAGCGUAGGCGGAAUUCAUGGUGUAGCGGUGGGAUGCUUAGAUAUCAAGAAGAACUCCGAUUGCGAAGGCAGCUUACGGGAGCGCAACUGACGCUGAAGCUCGAAGGUGCGGGUAUCGAACAGG